CAUUAGGCUCAGCUGGUUACAUUUGAAUGCUUAUUGACCCAUUGGGCCCUAGAAAUUGACAAUUGGAGGCUGUUAAAGGAGAGAAACAAAAAGCAGGAAAAAAGUCACUUUCAUGAUCUUUUCAGACUGAUGCCCUUCUGUUUUCCCGAGGUAGUUACUUUUUAGGACAAACACCAGUGCUCCACUGACUACAACUUUAGCUGGAAGAUCUACAAGAAAGUUUCAUCUUAAAAGUAAGAUUUUAUUCUGUCCCAUUUGAGGGUUGUGACUCAGAAAUCUUUAGCUACAGCAUUUUGCACUCCCAGAAAUUGAGUCAACUGA
Molecule: long non-coding RNA, 321 nt
Filed under: Calidris pygmaea (Spoon-billed sandpiper)
Lineage: Eukaryota; Metazoa; Chordata; Aves; Charadriiformes; Scolopacidae
Description: lncRNA (ENSCPGG00000010935.1)
Source: RNAcentral